GCAAUAGCUCAAAUUUGAAAUCUGGCGUCUUCGACGUCCGAGUUGUAAUUUGUAGAGGAUGCUUCUGAGUAACCACCGACCUAAGUUCCUUGGAACAGGACGUCAUAGAGGGUGAGAAUCCCGUAUGCGGUCGGAAAGGUGCUCUACACGUAGCUCCUUCGACGAGUCGAGUUGUUUGGGAAUGCAGCUCUAAAUGGGAGGUAAAUUUCUUCUAAAGCUAAAUAUUGGCCAGAGACCGAUAGCGCACAAGUAGAGUGAUCGAAAGAUGAAAAGCACUUUGGAAAGAGAGUUAAAAAGCACGUGAAAUUGUUAAAAGGGAAGGGAUUGCAACCAGACUUGCUCGCGGUGUUCCGCCGGUCUUCUGACCGGUCUACUCGCCGCGUUGCAGGCCAGCAUCGUCUGGUGCCGCUGGAU
Molecule: ribosomal RNA, 414 nt
Filed under: Taphrinomycetes sp.
Lineage: Eukaryota; Fungi; Ascomycota; Taphrinomycetes
Description: partial 28S ribosomal RNA
Rfam family: Eukaryotic large subunit ribosomal RNA
Source: RNAcentral